This 948-nucleotide long non-coding RNA is filed under the name Rattus norvegicus (Norway rat). RNAcentral describes it as "long non-coding RNA NONRATT024656". The record is from RNAcentral. Lineage: Eukaryota; Metazoa; Chordata; Mammalia; Rodentia; Muridae.
AAUACAUACCUCCACGGUGAUUUCAGAGUUCUUCCUCAGUCCUGAGGUUUGGGAUUCCCGGUUUGUGUCAGUAGAAUUGCGAGAGUAAUAGAUACCUCCAAGGUGAUCUCCAAGUUCUUCCUCAGUCUUGAGGUUUGGGAUUCCCGGUUUGUGUCAGCACAAUUGUGAGAGUAGAGGCCCACUUCAGAUCAACGAGUGGAUCCUGUCUCAACCUAAGCUCUAAGGUUGCUUGUGCUGUUAGGGUCACAGCUACAGGCCCAGGAACCCUCUGGAAGAGGAGGUGGAAAAAGUGUAAGAGCCAAUUGGAACGGAAGACAGCAAGGAAACACGGCCUUCUAGACCCAAGAUGACCAAUGUACCUAUGAACUCACAGAGCCUGGGGCAGCAUGCACUGGACCUGCAGAGGUCUAAGCCAGAUGUGCUCUCAGCACUCAGAGGGGAACUGAACCCCAUUCUACAUUGAUAAUCCAGAAGCUUUCCCCAGUUGAUAAACUCUGUCAAAGGAAAAACUAGUUUUCUCCAAUGGAGUCUCACUGGACAUAUAAACCACCCUUAAGAGCAGGCUCCACAGCCCUGAUGGCCAACAUGCAAUGAACGUGAUGGCAUUUCUAGAGGGUUUUGUGACUCACAGUGCUUUGUCUGGGUACUUUUUUCACGCUACAGAUAUUUUUUAUAUAUAGUUUGGUCUCUAAUUGUAAGUGUCUCAGUGUCUGAGUGAGUUUCUUGUGAUUUUCUUGGGCUCUUUUUUUCCUGUAAUGCUUUGCUCAUUUUUACUUCUUCUUCUUCUCCUCCUCCCCUUCAUUUUAGAUGCCUGUUUCUAUUCUAAUGUAAGAUGAAUAAAUGGGUGUGGAUUUGGAGGGGUGAAAUAGGGGGUGGGUGAGGGGAAACUGUAAUACAAAUAUAUUAUACAAAAAUACAUUUUAAUAAAAAAGUAUUUCCUCUAUGACU